Molecule: ribosomal RNA, 420 nt
Filed under: uncultured Trichocoleus sp.
Lineage: Bacteria; Bacillati; Cyanobacteriota; Cyanophyceae; Leptolyngbyales; Trichocoleusaceae
Description: bacterial SSU rRNA
Rfam family: Bacterial small subunit ribosomal RNA
Source: RNAcentral
GGGGAAUUUUCCGCAAUGGGCGAAAGCCUGACGGAGCAAGACCGCGUGGGGGAGGAAGGUUCUUGGAUUGUAAACCCCUUUUCUCAGGGAAGAACACAAUGACGGUACCUGAGGAAUAAGCAUCGGCUAACUCCGUGCCAGCAGCCGCGGUAAUACGGAGGAUGCAAGCGUUAUCCGGAAUAAUUGGGCGUAAAGCGUCCGUAGGUGGUCAUUCAAGUCUGCCGUUAAAGAGUGGGGCUUAACCCCACAAAGGCGGUGGAAACUGAAAGACUAGAGUGCAGUAGGGGUAGAGGGAAUUCCCGGUGUAGCGGUGAAAUGCGUAGAGAUCGGGAAGAACACCGGUGGCGAAAGCGCUCUGCUGGACUGCAACUGACACUGAGGGACGAAAGCUAGGGGAGCGAAUGGGAUUAGAUACCCCAG